AGGAGAAGUUCAACCAGCUCUGCUUGCAGACCGGCAUCCUUCCUGAAAAUAUUGUUCAUCUUCCUAAAACCGAGGAGUGUCCGCUUGAGUGUUUUGUCUGAUCUGUUGUUGAUCGUCUCACCGACACUGCAUAAAGAUCUGACACCAUCUGUUAUGGAAAUGUGACUGAGCAACAUCUGUAGCAGUUUUUAACAAUAAAAAUGCAAAAAUCUA
Maylandia zebra (zebra mbuna) is the source of this 213-nucleotide long non-coding RNA. RefSeq lists it as uncharacterized. The record is from RefSeq and is a predicted model, not a curated record. Lineage: Eukaryota; Metazoa; Chordata; Actinopteri; Cichliformes; Cichlidae.